CACAGGGCAGCUGGCUCUUGUGGGAUCUCUGGGACACUGUUCACCCACCAUGGGCUACCCAGAUACAACUCCUGGUCUCCUUGUCUCUUAGAACUCUUCUCUGUUUUCUGAGGUUCUAAGGUCUCCAGAUAAGCUGGUUGUAGCUUCCAAGAGGAGGAGUUAAACAGACUUUAAAGGUACUGAGACAAGUUUGGGGGCUGCCUCCUUUAGAUGGGAGACAAGUGGCCUCAGCACUACAAUAAAGACUAGAUGCAAAACUAGACUGGCUCGGGGAAUCUCGGGGUCCGGGCGAGCUCUCCUUAGCGAGCUGCUGCCGAGGAGGCCAGGCGCUUCUGGAUACAGGGUCCAACCUCAACCAAGCAGGGGUUGGAGGGAGCAGCUAAGGCAGGCCUCAGGGAAGUGCCCAUACUGAGUGCUAGGGCUACCGAGAACACCUAAGUACUGCCCUACUGUGAGCAGCUAUGGGCCCGCUCACUGGUGGUGGUGGAUGGCAGGAGACAGAGGUAUGGUACUCAAUAACUUCUUUGAGAUCCUGGCAGAAGAGUUCCUAAUCAUCAGGCAAGGUUCCUAUUGCAGUAGGGGACGGCCCAGGCCCAAGCUCGGCCUAUCAGUCAACCGAGGCUCCCACAGACAGAGCCGAGAUUGUCCUAACAGUGUUCAAAGUGGAAGACGUACAAUCACCCAGCUGACUGGUAGUCAUGGCAGCAGACUGCCAUUCCAAGUAAACGCCGAGGACCAGGGGAGCUGAGCCAGUAAGAGUCGAGGGAGGCGCCCGCAAGAUCCUAGGAUCCCGCAGCAACAGGCUCGGAUCUCCCUCGGUGGGGUGGCUGUGGGACCCUGCUCUCGGAAGCAUCCUAGCUUUCAUACAAUAAUACUUAGAUACCAAGUCGUUGACUGCCCGGAAGUACAAAACCACUUCCACCACAGUGAGAAUCCUAAACCAGUGACGUGGAAGUGACCUUCUCCAUAUGCUGUCCUCGUGUUCAGGAACCCUCAGAGAGGUUACCUGGAAGUCUCUUCAAGACCACGAUAGACAAAUACAAAUCUCUCAGUGAGAGUGCUUCUGUGAUUGUUGCCACGUGUUUGAGAGGGGAACCGGGCCGUGACCUGUCCACACCUGCACACAAUGCCUGCCAAGACACGAUGUGCUGAGGAAGCCAUGUGCAGAGCUUAAGGCUGACGGACAUGUGCUUUUGAAAACUACUGGACAUUUGUGGCCCAGGACUUCUCCCUUGAGGGACAACGUAAGGCUUUUGGUUCAAGUGGCCUUGGAAUCAUGGAAUAUCAGCAGGGAACAGAAACAGAGAGAUGAUCUAGGACAAAAUGGCUCUGGCUCGCUACCAUGCGGAUGGGAGCUGAUAACUGUUGCUGCAUUCCAACUCUUCCCUCUGUUUUCGAGGAUACUUCCGGUCUGUCUCCGGUCCAGACUCAGUGAGGAGGGAGGAAGAGUACCUGGGCAGAAGGGAAGAGCAUAAAGGCACAGCACCUUCGAAGUGACCCAGGUGUCAGGCCUUCUUGCCUCGGUGGCAUUCUCAGUUCCCAUAGGGAUAACAGGGGUCGUCCCCUACACGGUUUGCCAAAAAUCUCACAAAUGAGAACAUGUUUUAUCUCUUCGGUAGAAGUUUUCUUCCACUCACCAACAUUAAUCACCAGAUGCCAAGAAAGGCAAAUAGAGGAGACAAAGCGGCCGGCAUAAAUUACAGCUGAAGGCCCACAGAUAAGAGUAAAGUCAACAGCUCUGUGUACCGCCUCACAUCCCCUCUGGAACUGGAUGGUGGCAUAAAUCUCACGUUAUAAAUAAAUGAGACGUUUCU
Non-coding RNA from Rattus norvegicus (Norway rat), 1814 nucleotides. The record is from RefSeq and is a predicted model, not a curated record. NCBI's taxonomy places the organism in Eukaryota, Metazoa, Chordata, Mammalia, Rodentia, Muridae.